AUUUGCUGAAGAUGAAAAGGCCAUGCGAGAGAAACAGAGUGCUCGGGAGAGAGAGUCGUGCGAUACUCAUCGAGAGAAGGAGGCUGAGGCGACGGCAGCUCUGGGGUGGCUGGAAGUGACCGGCGACGCUACUGGGUUCUCUGGACAGUGGUGCGACGCACGAGAGAGAGAGAGUUAGAGAGUUAGACCGAAACUGGAAUUUAUGGGGAGAGAGGAGGGAUCCCGUCGGGGACUUACCGGAAAGGAGUGGAUUCGACGGGGUUGGGAUGCUCGGAGAUUUCUGUGGCCGAGGAGAGGUGGUCCGACUUCCUUGAGGUGGCUGGCGACGGCAGCACAAAUACACGGCCAAAAGCCACUACCGAUAAAGAUGGAGAGAGAAAACGACGGGGAAGAGAAGGGGUUUACCGUCGGCGUGUUCUGGGCAGCGUGGUGGUGCUCCGAUGUCCUCUGUGGAGGAUUCCGGCGGGGAAUUCAACGAUCUCUGUGGCUGAGAAUCACAAAAAAGAAAAGUACAAGAUAGAUCUUAUGGCUCCUCCUCCUGCCUUGAGAUCAUCGCCAAAAAGAGAUGGUGAUGUUGAAUAUGUGACCGUAGAUUUUAUGGGUAGAUUUUCAUAUAUUAGCUUGUAAUGAGUUAUGGGUAGAUUUUUAUAUAUUAGCAUUGUGUUUUGAUUGUAUGUGCAAGAAAUUAAGCUUGCAGUGAAGGAAGAUGAAAAUGAAGUUAAAAUAGGCAAGGUAGAGGCAGUGAAUGUUGAAAACGAGAGAACAAAAAUUGUGGCAGUUGAAGAAACCGUAUCUCAGAAACUGGUUCUUGUGCACAGGGAGAGAAAAUGCAGGGCUCAAUUGUGGAGUCUCUGAUCGAGUGUAUGCAAAUGCAAAAUAAA
Juglans microcarpa x Juglans regia is the source of this 881-nucleotide long non-coding RNA. RefSeq lists it as uncharacterized. NCBI's taxonomy places the organism in Eukaryota, Viridiplantae, Streptophyta, Magnoliopsida, Fagales, Juglandaceae. The record is from RefSeq and is a predicted model, not a curated record. The transcript has 3 exons.